CUGCAGUAAUACAGUUAAACAUUAAGUUACCGCCUGGGAGUACGGUCGCAAGAUUAAACUCAAAGGAAUAGACGGGACCCGCACAAGCGGUGGAGCAUGUGGUUUAAUUCGAAGAUACGCGAAAAACCUUACCUGGCCUUGACAUUGAUAGAAUCCUGUAGAGAUACGGGAGUGCCGGCUUGCCGGAACUUGAAAACAGGUGCUGCACGGCUGUCGUCAGCUCGUGUCGUGAGAUGUUGGGUUAAGUCCCGCAACGAGCGCAACCCACGUCCUUAGUUGCCAGCAUUUCGGAUGGGAACUCUAAGGAGACUGCCUUCGCAAGGAGGGGGAAGGUGUGGACGACGUCAAGUCAUCAUGGCCCUUACGGCCAGGGCUACACACGUGCUACAAUGGGGCGUACAAAGAGCAGCAAUACCGCGAGGUGGAGCAAAUCUCAAAAACGCCUCCCAGUUCAGAUUGCACUCUGCAACUCGAGUGCAUGAAGUUGGGAUCGCUAGUAAUCGUAGAUCAGCAUUGCUACGGUGAAUACGUUCCCGGGUCUUGUACUCACCGCCCGUCACACCAUGGGAGUUGAUUUCACCCGAAGCGGGGAUGCUAAAGUAGCUACCUUUCUACGGUGGAAUCAGCGAC
This 630-nucleotide ribosomal RNA is filed under the name uncultured Campylobacterota bacterium. RNAcentral's name for it is "bacterial SSU rRNA". It matches the Rfam family "Bacterial small subunit ribosomal RNA", at positions 838 to 1475 of the family's 1533-position model. Lineage: Bacteria; Pseudomonadati; Campylobacterota. The record is from RNAcentral.